AAAGUUUUAGUAUAAAAUUUAGCAUUAUUUAUUGUCAAUAAAUAGGUUAAAACUUUA
RNAcentral lists this transfer RNA (57 nucleotides) under Oesophagostomum columbianum. Its description in RNAcentral is "tRNA-Asp". The record is from RNAcentral. Lineage: Eukaryota; Metazoa; Nematoda; Chromadorea; Rhabditida; Strongylidae.